CGCUUGGCAAGAUUAUAUUACGAUACACUUCGUUUCACAGAUGGUCUACUUUUGAGAGCGGUAACUAGUGUCUAAUUUACAUAUUUAGGCUGCCUAAAAUCUUUUCAAGAAAGAUCAUGAUCUGAAAAAUGUUUAAAAAGAGUUGUGCAACGUUUAAUGGAUGGAUUGCGUGCCACCAACAAUUGGUGCUUUCUUUUGAUUCGCAUUCUUCAAAGAAUAAUUUCUCAUGAUGUUCGCUUCGUGGACCUUUAACAUUCAUUUCAUUGCACGAAAAUAGAUGUUUGCUUACUAUGAAGAAACUCGAAACAAGAUAAAGGUAAACAGAUUAAUAAAAU
Molecule: long non-coding RNA, 335 nt
Filed under: Apis dorsata (giant honeybee)
Lineage: Eukaryota; Metazoa; Arthropoda; Insecta; Hymenoptera; Apidae
Description: uncharacterized LOC116185210, transcript variant X2
Source: RNAcentral